GUGGGGAAUAUUGGGCAAUGGGCGCAAGCCUGACCCAGCAACGCCGCGUGAGGGAAGAAGGUUUUCGGAUUGUAAACCUCUGUCGCAAGGGACGAAAGCAAUGACGGUACCUUGUGAGGAAGCCCCGGCUAACUACGUGCCAGCAGCCGCGGUAAUACGUAGGGGGCGAGCGUUGUCCGGAAUUACUGGGCGUAAAGGGUGCGUAGGCGGUUGCUUAAGUUGGAUGUGAAAUACCCGGGCUUAACUUGGGGGGUGCAUUCAAAACUGGGCGACUAGAGUUCAGGAGAGGGAAGCGGAAUUCCUAGUGUAGCGGUGAAAUGCGUAGAUAUUAGGAGGAACACCAGUGGCGAAGGCGGCUUUCUGGACUGACACUGACGCUGAGGCACGAAAGCGUGGGGAGCAAACAGGAUUAGAUACCCGAGUAGUCC
This 428-nucleotide ribosomal RNA is filed under the name uncultured bacterium. Its description in RNAcentral is "partial 16S ribosomal RNA". It matches the Rfam family "Bacterial small subunit ribosomal RNA", at positions 354 to 796 of the family's 1533-position model. The record is from RNAcentral.